AGAGAAUAGAGAAUAGAAAAUAAUUCUCAAGCAAUAAUUCAAAUCGAAGAGAAUAAAAAAUAGAAAAUAAUUCUCAAGCAAAUCUUCGCAGGUCAAAAUAAUCAUGUUUUCAAUUAUGACUGAAGAUAUGUUUAAUUCAAGUUCUUCAAAUUCUUCUCAUGAUAAUAUUGACAUGGAUAAUAUUGGUGUUCAUAACACAAACAUGAGUUGCACCAAUUUUUCAACCCCUACAAAAUCUAUAAGCUCACAUCAAUCUGAAACAAUUAUAUAAUCUACAAACAAUGUAACUGAGUAAACAAGCAAUUAGCACUUGAAUUCCGAAACUUGCGCAAUGACAUCAACAAAUAGAUUUUCUUGCACUUUGUUAGGUAUCUGAACUUCGACAUUUGCAGAAGCAGGAACUAAUUCACUUCCAGGUUGACUUAGAUAUCCAGUUUCUAUAGAUUCAGGGCAGGUAAUUUUCUGGUCUUGAUGAAUGGUGUGUGAAAAAAGCUUUAUUCCGACAUCCAAAUUGUCAGCCUCGGGAAGACCAGUUGUGAGAAGGCUUUGCACGGAAUGAUCCACAAGAUAAGGCUGGUCACAUGUCAUAAAUACCUGAACACAAGGGAGAAUAAUAUUUCAAGGCUGAGUUUCAAAUAAAAAUAAAGAAGAAUUAGGCAAUUAAACAUCAAAGAGAUACCCACUAAGUAAGCCUCUAGAUGUAUGACAUAAUACGUAGGAUUGUAUUUUAGCAGUCACAAUGUGCUCUAGUAUAAGUUUUAAACUCCUAGUUCUAUUGCAGGUUUUGACUUGACAGAAACCCCAACUGGAACCUUCUAAAAAAUCAUGAAAAUUUAUUUACUUACUCUCAUCUUUCUUUCUCUCUUUAUACAAUAAGUGGGAAGGGUUAAGACUUUUCAGUUAUUUUCGUCCACGUGCUUGAAUCAUUCAAUUAUUUAGAUUAAUGCUACUAGAAAAUUUGAAUAACAUAUAUUAAUGUAAAAUAAUUGAAAUGCUCCACAUAUCUAUUUUAGGAUAAGUAGGGAGCUAAGCAACCUUGAUGCAAAUUGUUUCUUCAUGACACAAUAGGAAUCUCAUAGCCAAUAUUAAAUGACAAGACAGCUUUUCAAUAGCCAGGAUUAACUAAUAACCUAUGCAUCGUACCAGCAGCAAAUAUUUAUGAGUACAACCAUUGUAAAUAUGGGAUGUCCAGUGGUCUUCAAAGCUUUUAGUUCAUGUAGGUGGAAGAACUGGUUGUCAAAAUAAGGGAUCUUGCUGGAUGCUGCCGCCGUAGAAUUUUGAGGGCAAUAUACAUGAUGAAGUAGUUUUAAAGAUUCUCAUAUGGUGAAUAGUGAAUACUGCAUGUUGAAAAUGGAGCAAUUCAGCCUAUAGAUAGAAUGCGGGAGGAAGCUAGCUGAUGUCACUAAAUCAACGUAUUACAAAAUAAAAGAAACAGAAAACCAUAUAUGUUGGCACAAAACAAAGAUAACAACAAUGCAAUAAGAACAUAUAGACCAGUUAUGCAUUUGUUAGUGUGCAAGGUAUGAAAAAAGUGAGUACACAAUGCAAUUUUUAUUAUACCAAAGCCCAACGAGGAAAAUGAGAAAGUAGCAACCUCAAUCUUUAAGCCAGACCAUUACAACACUAUCUUGAUAAAAGGAAAAAGAAAUAGUAUUGAUAAGAUAUUAAGAUUUUAAAACAUUAAAUCAAGAUAAUAUUAAAAUGAAUCCUCGGACUCAGUCUUUCUCCUUUUCCUUCCAAUUACAACACUUAGUCUCAAAAAAUGAUAGUUGGGACAAAAGUGGAGUCCAUGUUCAGAAAAUCAUGUGCAUACAAGUAUAACAACCAUUUGAAUAUAUUACCAUCCCUUGUCGAUAAUCAUCUAUGUCUUCAGUAUCAAAAAACAUGGUUUGCACAAAGAACAUAAUAGAGGCGCUUGGAAACAUUCAAGUAUCAAAAAACUGAUACUUAUAAUGUGAACCAAAACGACGACAGUAUAUCCACAUCGCAGUUAGUUCUUCCCAUUUCACAUGAUUUCGCGAUCUCCUACUGUGUAGACAGAGUUAGAAUAAAAGUAAUAUUAAAUCUUGCACUUACAUCAAUUAUUGUUAGAACUCUUUCAGCUAAAUCACCACAUUUCAAACUUAAAUUUAUUAAAAAAGAUGUCGUGCUUCAUUGCAAGGAAUCCAUGCCAUAGAAAUCAAAUUGGGAGCAUUUUCGUUGAACUUUAAAGCUAUUCUUUUUUUCAUUCAAAUGUGCUAAUUUCACAUCACAGUUUAUAUAAAUUAGUUUAAAUAAAAAACCAUAUUAAAAUCAUCCACUUUCAACAACAUACCAUUUCACUAUUGAUUGAAGAUAUAAAUGAUAACAAAACAGCUAAUGCAAUUAGAGAAUUCCCCUGUUCCAGUAGAAAUACUAUUAAAACAAUGACCCAGUAAAACACGGAACUGGUUUUAUUGAUUAUAUAACAGAUCGAUCAAAUUGAAUUUCUACAAUUACUUUAGAACAGUAUUAUCUGAAGCCUAAUAUCAGGCCAAUUACUUUUCUGAAAGUAGUCAACUAUACAGUAAAUUGAAAACGAGAUACAUGACCAACAACAAAUUAACAGAUUUGAUAACUAAAAAUAACCAAAACUACCAAAUCUCGAAAAUAUAUACCAUAAGAUUAAUCAGAUAAGCAAAACUAAACACUGAUACAAACUACUUGGUAGCAAAAUCAGUCUAACCUGCUACAAAAGCAAAAAUACCUGGUCAAUCGCAGCAGGAGGGAGGGUUUGGUUUAGGGAAUCGUCGCAGGAAUCGAGGGUGCUCGUACGCUAGUUGAACUCGAAAUCGCAGCAGGAGGGAGGGUUUGGAUUUCAUAAUCGCAGGGUUUGAUUUAGGAAUCGCAGCAGGAGGGAGAGUGAGGGAGGGUUUGGAUUUCGAGGACGGAGGGUUUGAUUUAGAAAUCGCAGCAGGACUGCCGGAGGGAGGGUGCUCGUAUGCUAGUUCACUACCCGACGAAGGUUACUGAGCGUUAGGGUUAAAUUGGGAUUAAAAUUUCUUUUGCAGCGUCCGCUAGUUCAACCAGCGGACGGAUUAAAUCCCUUUUAAAUCUCC
Molecule: long non-coding RNA, 3077 nt
Filed under: Panax ginseng (ginseng)
Lineage: Eukaryota; Viridiplantae; Streptophyta; Magnoliopsida; Apiales; Araliaceae
Description: long non-coding RNA (PGIN_LNC011116)
Source: RNAcentral